CCUACGGGUGGCAGCAGUGAGGAAUAUUGGUCAAUGGACGAGAGUCUGAACCAGCCAAGUAGCGUGAAGGAUGACUGCCCUAUGGGUUGUAAACUUCUUUUAUAUGGGAAUAAAACGUUCCACGUGUGGGAUUUUGUAUGUACCAUAUGAAUAAGGAUCGGCUAACUCCGUGCCAGCAGCCGCGGUAAGACGGAGGAUCCGAGCGUUAUCCGGAUUUAUUGGGUUUAAAGGGAGCGUAGGUGGAUUGUUAAGUCAGUUGUGAAAGUUUGCGGCUCAACCGUAAAAUUGCAGUUGAAACUGGCAGUCUUGAGUACAGUAGAGGUGGGCGGAAUUCGUGGUGUAGCGGUGAAAUGCUUAGAUAUCACGAAGAACUCCGAUUGCGAAGGCAGUUCACUGGACUGCAACUGACACUGAGGCUCGAAAGUGUGGGUAUCAAACAGGAUUAGAUACCCUUGUAGUC
Molecule: ribosomal RNA, 460 nt
Filed under: uncultured bacterium
Lineage: Bacteria
Description: partial 16S ribosomal RNA
Rfam family: Bacterial small subunit ribosomal RNA
Source: RNAcentral